Molecule: small nuclear RNA, 106 nt
Organism: Ailuropoda melanoleuca (giant panda)
Lineage: Eukaryota; Metazoa; Chordata; Mammalia; Carnivora; Ursidae
Source: Ensembl
UUGCUUUAGCAGCACAUAAUACUAAAACUGGAACAGCACAAAAAUUAGUAAUGGCCCCUGCACAAGAAUGACACACAAAAUGUUUCCAGAGAGAAUAAACAUUUUU